Anaerosporobacter mobilis DSM 15930 is the source of this 165-nucleotide regulatory RNA element. Lineage: Bacteria; Bacillati; Bacillota; Clostridia; Lachnospirales; Lachnospiraceae. The record is from Rfam.
UAGCGAAACAUCUAUAGUACUUCUUAGUGUGUACUUGAUAACAUAGCAAGGCGAGGCAUGGACGCCGAGCCAGCCUGAGCUUCGGCAGGAUGCCGAAUCGAAGGUGGUUCCGUCUAAUUCCGAUACCUUACCUUACACACUUAGAAGUACUUAGGUGUGUAGCGU